UACGUAGGCAGCAAACGUUGUUCGGAAUUACUGGGCGUAAAGAGUGUGUAGGCGGUUCUGUAAGUUUGGUGUGAAAUCUCCCGGCUUAACUGGGAGGGUGUGCCGAAAACUGCAGGGCUUGAGUGCUGGAGAGGAGAGCGGAAUUCCUGGUGUAGCGGUGAAAUGCGUAGAUAUCAGGAGGAACACCGGCGGUGUAGACGGCUCUCUGGACAGUAACUGACGCUGAGACACGAAAGCGUGGGGAGCAAACAGG
RNAcentral lists this ribosomal RNA (253 nucleotides) under uncultured bacterium. Its description in RNAcentral is "partial 16S ribosomal RNA". It matches the Rfam family "Bacterial small subunit ribosomal RNA", at positions 524 to 776 of the family's 1533-position model. The record is from RNAcentral.